This 434-nucleotide ribosomal RNA is filed under the name uncultured bacterium. RNAcentral's name for it is "partial 16S ribosomal RNA". It matches the Rfam family "Bacterial small subunit ribosomal RNA", at positions 29 to 507 of the family's 1533-position model. The record is from RNAcentral.
AGCGAACGCUGGCGGCAGGCCUAACACAUGCAAGUCGAACGAACCUUUCGGGGUUAGUGGCGGACGGGUGAGUAACACGUGGGAACGUGCCUUUAGGUUCGGAAUAACUCAGGGAAACUUGUGCUAAUACCGGAUGUGUCCCUCGGGGGAAAGAUUAAUCGCCUUUAGAGCGGCCCGCGUCUGAUUAGCUAGUUGGUUGAGGUAAUGGCUCACCAAGGCGACGAACAGUAGCGGGUCUGAGAGGAUGAUCAGCCACAUUGGGACUGAGACACGGCCCAAACUCCUACGGGAGGCAGCAGUGGGGAAUCUUGCGCAAUGGGCGAAAGCCUGACGCAGCCAUGCCGCGUGAAUGAUGAAGGUCUUAGGAUUGUAAAACUCUUUCACCGGGGACGAUAAUGACGGUACCCGGAGAAGAAGCCCCGGCUAACUUCGUG